GAGGAGGAUAGAGAAAAAGGAGAAGAAAUGGAUGUUCGUGGGUGAGUCACCAUGAGUGGUCGAGCAGCGGGCAGCAAGCAGCAGACAGCAGGCAGGAAUGGCGAGCGGUUGGCUGGCUUAUCAUUGACCGGCGAGUGUUAGAAGAGCUGCCUGGUGCAGAGAGGCAUUGUACUCAUGUUGGCGGGUCAAUAUGUGAGCUUCGUCCCAGGCUGAACUGAGUGCAUCUCCUCUAAUGCUGUGUAACUUGAGCAGCUUCCUAUGAUGGAGAGAACUACAUUAUCAGGACAGUGAUGACUUACAACAUGUGUAGCUACUGUGGAUAACCUCACCCCACCCUCUACUUGAAGGCACUGUGAUAUCAAUCUUGCAGGACAAUGGUGACUUACAUGUGUGGCUGCUGUGGAUGAUCUCGCCCCUACUGUGCACUCAAAGGCACAGUGUGGCAAUCAAGAGGGGGUUACCAAAUCAAAUGCUCUUAUAAUAUGAGGUCAGGGGCAGCCUCUCCUUCAUAUGGAUCUUCACUGCUUCCAACUCCAUCAGCAUCAUGAAAGCAUCAUGGAAACGGGAAAACUUUUAAGCCAAGACUGGUUAGCUGAUUUAACUAGUUCUGUCAUGAAUGAUCAAGUUAACUUUGAGCCAGGCUUGAUUGUGUCAUAUCACUACACAACUAAAUUUAGGGAUGCAGAAAUAUAUUCUCAUUACAGCUUGUCAGUUUCAGAUCAAAGUUUACAUAGCUUGCAACUUCUGUUUGGCAGUUGUUAGCUACAAUGUAUUUUUUUAAAUUGUCUUCACUAGUAGUAGAUAGUCAGACUGAGGUUGUCUUAACCAUUUUCAUAAAUGUCAAAGAUUUUUAGGUAGGACUUUUAAAAUACUGACAAUAUAUAAGGAAGGAUUUGUACACUUUUGAGACUGAGAAUUUAGUGGUAGAUAGUAAAACUGAGUACAAUAGUGUAAUUCUUUUGAACUGUGUAGAACCAGGGUUUUGAACUGUGUAGAACCAGGGUUUGAGUGGGAGGUUGGGGAGGAAUUUGAUGCCUUCCAAUAUCUUUCUUGUGCAAGUCACUUGCAGCAGACCUACUUGCAUUGUGGUUGGUAACAUAGGUAGGGUCUGUCCUUGUACGUUCCACAUCUUGCAUUUUUUAUAUAUAAAGAAUAUUUAAAAAAAAAAUUGUUAGAAUCAUUCCGAGUGGUGUGUCACUGAUUCUACUAGGUUUAGUAAUUUAGCUAUCUGAGCACUUGUGAAUGGUAACACUGCCACAGACUUUACAUCCUUUUUUUUUACUAAUCAGAUUUUUUGGUCAGAACAGUGACUGAACACAAAGCUUUUAAAUUACUUGUAUCUAAAAAAGAAUAUAAAAUCUGCAUCAUCCAGUGCUACGUCAGGAAGCUAAUCAUCAGUUUACCAUAAUUACAAUGAAAAAUACCCACAGUCACUUCCUUAUCCAUUCAAACUUUAUCAUCACUUCCUUAUUAUCCAUUCAAACUUUAUCAGUCUCCUUAAUUCUUUCACUCCCUCUCACUAACAACAUUCAUUCCUUUCAAGUUUUAAUUUAAAAGUUUACUUGUUUCAUAUACAGGACACAUCUGGCUGGAUCUUGCACUAACCUUGCUUUCCUGAAUUCUUUCACUGCCUCUAACCAACAUUCAUUCCAUCAGGUUUUUGGAAGUCUACUGUUUCAUACACACAUUCUGUAUCUUGCACAAACCCAACAAUCUUAAAUGCACAAGCCCAACAAUCUUAAAUCUUUUUAUCAUGUAAUGAUGUGCAUUAUAUGCUCUACAGAUGCGGUUUUUACACAGGUGAACUGGUAAUCUGCUACAUUGUCCCUGAGAUCUGACACCAUGGAGAGUGUGUUGUGCCUCUGGAACUCUUGCAUAACUUUCCCUCACACUGAGAUGUGCACCACCACCUCUGAAAAGACACGACUAACUCAGCUCAACAAUACAAAAGAUUCUGGAGUAAUUUUGUGGACUGAUAUCAAUCAAUAAAAGUUGCUUUUAUU
This is a long non-coding RNA of Scylla paramamosain (green mud crab), 2003 nucleotides long. RefSeq lists it as uncharacterized. NCBI's taxonomy places the organism in Eukaryota, Metazoa, Arthropoda, Malacostraca, Decapoda, Portunidae. The transcript has 4 exons. The record is from RefSeq and is a predicted model, not a curated record.